UGAGGGAUAUUGGUCAAUGGGCGCAAGCCUGAACCAGCGACGCCGCGUGGGUGAAGAAGGUCUUCGGAUCGUAAAGCCCUUUUCCCACUGAAGAGGAAGGACGGUAGGUGGGGAAGAAGUCUCGGCUAACUACGUGCCAGCAGCCGCGGUAAAACGUAGGAGACAAGCGUUAUCCGGAGUUACUGGGCGUAAAGGGCGUGCAGGUGGCGUCUUAAGUCUGUUGUGAAAGCGCCUGGCUUAACCGGGCGAGGCCAAUGGAGACUGAGAGGCUGGAGGACGGCGGAGGGGUGUGGAAUUCCGGGUGGAGUGGUGAAAUGCGUAGAGAUCCGGAGGAACACCAGAGGCGAAGGCGGCACUCUAAGCCGUACCUGACACUGAGACGCGACAGCACGGGGAGCAAACG
This 403-nucleotide ribosomal RNA is filed under the name uncultured bacterium. Its description in RNAcentral is "bacterial SSU rRNA". It matches the Rfam family "Bacterial small subunit ribosomal RNA", at positions 355 to 774 of the family's 1533-position model. The record is from RNAcentral.